GACGAACGCUGGCGGCGUGCUUAACACAUGCAAGUCGAACGGAAAGGCCCUGCUUUUGUGGGGUGCUCGAGUGGCGAACGGGUGAGUAACACGUGAGUAACCUGCCCUUGACUUUGGGAUAACUUCAGGAAACUGGGGCUAAUACCGGAUAGGAGCUCCUGCUGCAUGGUGGGGGUUGGAAAGUUUCGGCGGUUGGGGAUGGACUCGCGGCUUAUCAGCUUGUUGGUGGGGUAGUGGCUUACCAAGGCUUUGACGGGUAGCCGGCCUGAGAGGGUGACCGGCCAUUUGGGCAGAGAAACAGGCCAGAGACCUCCGGGGGGGACAGGGGGGGGAUAUAUCGCACAGGGGGGGGGAGUCAUAGGGAGACGCCGCGUGGGGGAGAUGGGGGCUUGGGGUUUAAAACCCGUUCGCGCGUGUGAAGACGGGUGUGAGAGGGAAAGGGGAAAAGAAGCCCCGUAAAAAUAC
Molecule: ribosomal RNA, 465 nt
Filed under: uncultured bacterium
Lineage: Bacteria
Description: partial 16S ribosomal RNA
Rfam family: Bacterial small subunit ribosomal RNA
Source: RNAcentral